GUGGUCUUUCCUGUGUGCAGAAGGGAACUGUUAAGGACCCCAUCUGGUUUGGACAGAGAGACGAUAACCACCAUUUACCUCGGGUGGCCCUUAGGAGAAUGAACACUAUAAGCUGCUGAAUGCAGAGGACUCCAAAGACCAAGAAAAGGGUGAAGCCAUAAGAUGGAAGACACAUUUCCUGAAUGACACAUGGAAAGCAGCCUGUCAACCAGGAACACUUAGUAUGACUUCUUAUGACACUUUGCUGGACAAAAAGGAAAAAUAUCUGGGUGGGAGAGAUUGUGGGGGGCCCGUUAAGCCCGCAUUCUGCUACUGGAUUUAGUCGAAAAUACCAAGCUGUUUUCAAGAAGUCUGGAUUAAACUGACUCCCUC
Molecule: long non-coding RNA, 372 nt
Organism: Mesoplodon densirostris (Blainville's beaked whale)
Lineage: Eukaryota; Metazoa; Chordata; Mammalia; Artiodactyla; Ziphiidae
Exons: 3
Source: RefSeq, a predicted model, not a curated record